This is a non-coding RNA of Triticum urartu, 115 nucleotides long. The record is from Rfam. NCBI's taxonomy places the organism in Eukaryota, Viridiplantae, Streptophyta, Magnoliopsida, Poales, Poaceae.
UAUAUACUCCCUCCGUUCCAAAUUACUCGUCGCAGAAAUGGAUGUAUCUAGAACUAAAAUAUAUCUAGAUACAUCUAUACAUGUGACAAGUAAUUCGAAACGGAGGAAGUACAAU